This is an RNA transcript of Sapajus apella (tufted capuchin), 877 nucleotides long. It is a transcript of the gene named ferritin light chain pseudogene, with no coding region annotated. NCBI's taxonomy places the organism in Eukaryota, Metazoa, Chordata, Mammalia, Primates, Cebidae. The transcript has a single exon. The record is from RefSeq and is a predicted model, not a curated record.
GUUCAGCAGUCCUGCGGACCUGUCUCUUGCUUCGACAGUGGAUGGAACAGAUUCCAGGGACUCUUUCUUCCAGCCUCUGACCGCCUUCCGAUUUCCUCUCCACUUGCAACCUCCGGGACCAUCUUCUCAGCCAUCUCCUGCUUCUGGGGACCUGCCAACACUGUUUUUGUGGUUAGCUCCUUCUUGCUGACCAACCAUGAGCUCCCAGAUUCGUCACAAUUAUUCCACGCACGUGGAGGCUGCCACUGACCUCCUGGUCUAUGUAUACCUGCAGGCCUUCUACACCUACCUCUCUCUGGGCUACUAUUUCGACUGCAAUGAUGUGGCUCUGGAAGGCAUGAGCCACUUGUUCUGCGAAUUGACCGAGGGGAAGGGCGAGGGCUACGAGCAUCUCCUGAAGAUGCAAAACCAGUGCGGCAGCCGUGCUCUCUUCCAGGACAUCAAGAAGCCAGUUCAAGAGGAGUGGGGUAAAACCCUGGACGCCAUGGAAGCCGCCAUGGCCCUGGAGAAAAAUCUGAACCAGGCCCUUUUGGAUCUUCAUGCCCGGGGUUCUGCCCACAUGGACCCCCAUCUCUGUGACUUCCCAGAGAGUCACUUCCUAGAUGAGGGAGUGAAACUCAUCAAGAAGAUGGGUGACCACCUGACCAACCUCUGCAGGCUGGCCGGCCCACAGGCUGGGCUGGGCAGGUAUCUCUUCGAAAGGCUCACUCUCGAGCACGACUAAGAGCCUACUGAGCCCAGUGACUUCUGAAGGGGCCCUUGCAAAGUGACAAGGCUUCUGCCUAAGCCUCUCCCUCCAGCCACUAGGCAGCUUUCUAACUACCCUAACAAGCUUUGGAACAAAUGGAACUAAAGCUUUUUGAAGCAGAAAAAAAAA